UGGGGAAUAUUGGACAAUGGGCGAAAGCCUGAUCCAGCAAUGCCGCGUGAGCGAUGAAGGCCUUAGGGUUGUAAAGCUCUUUUACCCGGGAUGAUAAUGACAGUACCGGGAGAAUAAGCCCCGGCUAACUCCGUGCCAGCAGCCGCGGUAAUACGGAGGGGGCUAGCGUUGUUCGGAAUUACUGGGCGUAAAGCGCACGUAGGCGGCUAUUCAAGUCAGAGGUGAAAGCCCGGGGCUCAACCCCGGAAUAGCCUUUGAAACUAGAUAGCUUGAAUCUUGGAGAGGCGAGUGGAAUUCCGAGUGUAGAGGUGAAAUUCGUAGAUAUUCGGAAGAACACCAGUGGCGAAGGCGGCUCGCUGGACAAGUAUUGACGCUGAGGUGCGAAAGCGUGGGGAGCAAAC
Molecule: ribosomal RNA, 401 nt
Filed under: uncultured bacterium
Lineage: Bacteria
Description: bacterial SSU rRNA
Rfam family: Bacterial small subunit ribosomal RNA
Source: RNAcentral